CAUGCAAGUCGAGCGGUAGCACAGAGAGCUUGCUCUCGGGUGACGAGCGGCGGACGGGUGAGUAAUGUCUGGGAAACUGCCUGAUGGAGGGGGAUAACUACUGGAAACGGUAGCUAAUACCGCAUAACGUCGCAAGACCAAAGUGGGGGACCUUCGGGCCUCAUGCCAUCAGAUGUGCCCAGAUGGGAUUAGCUGGUAGGUGGGGUAACGGCUCACCUAGGCGACGAUCCCUAGCUGGUCUGAGAGGAUGACCAGCCACACUGGAACUGAGACACGGUCCAGACUCCUACGGGAGGCAGCAGUGGGGAAUAUUGCACAAUGGGCGCAAGCCUGAUGCAGCCAUGCCGCGUGUGUGAAGAAGGCCUUCGGGUUGUAAAGCACUUUCAGCGGGGAGGAAGGCGAUAAGGUUAAUAACCUUGUCGAUUGACGUUACCCGCAGAAGAAGCACCGGCUAACUCCGUGCCAGCAGCCGCGGUAAUACGGAGGGUGCAAGCGUUAAUCGGAAUUACUGGGCGUAAAGCGCACGCAGGCGGUCUGUCAAGUCGGAUGUGAAAUCCCCGGGCUCAACCUGGGAACUGCAUUCGAAACUGGCAGGCUAGAGUCUUGUAGAGGGGGGUAGAAUUCCAGGUGUAGCGGUGAAAUGCGUAGAGAUCUGGAGGAAUACCGGUGGCGAAGGCGGCCCCCUGGACAAAGACUGACGCUCAGGUGCGAAAGCGUGGGGAGCAAACAGGAUUAGAUACCCUGGUAGUCCACGCUGUAAACGAUGUCGAUUUGGAGGUUGUGCCCUUGAGGCGUGGCUUCCGGAGCUAACGCGUUAAAUCGACCGCCUGGGGAGUACGGCCGCAAGGUUAAAACUCAAAUGAAUUGACGGGGGCCCGCACAAGCGGUGGAGCAUGUGGUUUAAUUCGAUGCAACGCGAAGAACCUUACCUGGUCUUGACAUCCACAGAACUUUCCAGAGAUGGAUUGGUGCCUUCGGGAACUGUGAGACAGGUGCUGCAUGGCUGUCGUCAGCUCGUGUUGUGAAAUGUUGGGUUAAGUCCCGCAACGAGCGCAACCCUUAUCCUUUGUUGCCAGCGGUUCGGCCGGGAACUCAAAGGAGACUGCCAGUGAUAAACUGGAGGAAGGUGGGGAUGACGUCAAGUCAUCAUGGCCCUUACGACCAGGGCUACACACGUGCUACAAUGGCAUAUACAAAGAGAAGCGACCUCGCGAGAGCAAGCGGACCUCAUAAAGUAUGUCGUAGUCCGGAUUGGAGUCUGCAACUCGACUCCAUGAAGUCGGAAUCGCUAGUAAUCGUAGAUCAGAAUGCUACGGUGAAUACGUUCCCGGGCCUUGUACACACCGCCCGUCACACCAUGGGAGUGGGUUGCAAAAGAAGUAGGUAGCUAACCUUCGGAG
Molecule: ribosomal RNA, 1400 nt
Filed under: Klebsiella sp. ICB 369
Lineage: Bacteria; Pseudomonadati; Pseudomonadota; Gammaproteobacteria; Enterobacterales; Enterobacteriaceae
Description: bacterial SSU rRNA
Rfam family: Bacterial small subunit ribosomal RNA
Source: RNAcentral